UUAGACGGUAGGGUAUUGGCCUACCGUGGCUAUGACGGGUAACGGGGAAUUAGGGUUCGAUUCCGGAGAGGGAGCCUGAGAAACGGCUACCACAUCUAAGGAAGGCAGCAGGCGCGCAAAUUACCCAAUCCUAAUACAGGGAGGUAGUGACAAGAAAUAACAAUACAGAACCUCACGGUUUUGUAAUUGGAAUGAGUUAAGUAUAAACCCCUUAACGAGUAUCAAUUGGAGGGCAAGUCUGGUGCCAGCAGCCGCGGUAAUUCCAGCUCCAAUAGCGUAUAUUAAAGUUGUUGCAGUUAAAAAGCUCGUAGUUGAUUUUCUGUUAAUUUUUAUGUAUAAUAUUGCGAUAUUUACAUAAUAUUAACAUAAUUCACAUUACUUUACAGUAUGUGGAAYUUUACUUUGAGAAAAUUAGAGUGCUUAAAGCAGGCUAUUGCCUUGAAUACUCCAGCAUGGAAUAAUAUUAAGGAUUUUUAUUCUUCUUAUUGGUUCUAG
This 495-nucleotide ribosomal RNA is filed under the name Cryptosporidium scrofarum. RNAcentral's name for it is "SSU rRNA". The record is from RNAcentral. Lineage: Eukaryota; Apicomplexa; Conoidasida; Eucoccidiorida; Cryptosporidiidae.